AAAGUCGUAACAAGGUUUCCGUAGGUGAACCUGCGGAAGGAUCAUUAAAGGUUUUCGUCGACCCUCUGCAAAGAGGAGUUCGGCGGCCAAGAUCAACCACUGUGCGCAUAUAUUGAAAUCAUUAUUGCUUUUGGUAAGGUUCCCUUCAAAAUUUUUUUUUUGGAGGAGCGCCUGCCAAGAGUAUAUAUCAAAAUCUCCCUUAUUUUUUGACUGAAAUUUUUUUUAAAUAAAAUUUAAUACAACUUUCAACAACGGAUCUCUUGGCUCUC
This 269-nucleotide unclassified non-coding RNA is filed under the name Glomeromycotina sp. RNAcentral's name for it is "partial contains small subunit ribosomal RNA, internal transcribed spacer 1, and 5.8S ribosomal RNA". The stretch from base 1 to 47 matches the Rfam family "Eukaryotic small subunit ribosomal RNA", at positions 1785 to 1831 of the family's 1831-position model. The record is from RNAcentral. Lineage: Eukaryota; Fungi; Glomeromycota.